UUUUUAGUGGAUGAGCGCUUCAAAAGUCAAUUAAUUAGGGUUCCAACCAAAUACUCCCCUCCCAAAAUUUUAAUCUCUGCUUCUCACUCGCUCCGCUACGUCAAACUCUGCUCCCAUACGUUUGAUCUGAUCGAAGAACUAAGCCUCUUGCUGAGGUUAUGUUCAUUUUGAUUUAAGGAUUUAUCAUACAAUUCGGGCAUGAAUUAGAUUCGUUGAUGGUGUUCUUCAAAGGAGAUUGAACCUGCAGUAAUGAGGAUAACACUUAUUAAUUAAUCCAAAGCCCUAUGGUUCAGGCAAUUAACAUCUGAACACUAAUUUUUGCACUUGAAACCAGGUGGGCGAGCUAGGGUUAUAAUGGAGAAGAAGAUGAAGUUGUCUAUUUGCUGUGGACUCAAAGUAAGAGGAGAAAGUGCAAGAGAAAGAAGAGUCAGAUGAUCUGCACACGCCUGAACAGAAGAGUGAAGUUGUAAGCAAAGUCAACGAAACUAUUCUUGGAAUCUUCUUGAUUGUUAUAUAUUAUUGGAUUGAAAACUUGAACGUGGUUAUCAAGGAGUUCGUUAAGGAAAAGGAUGAAAAAAAAGAAAGAUUGAGAAGUUGAACUUAGUUAUCGUGGGGCUCGUUAAGGAAAAUGAUGAAGAAAAAGAAAGAUUAAAUGGAAUUAUUGCGGGGUUGUUGGCUGAAAAGAAAAAGAUAAGGUUGAUAAAGAUGCUAUGCUCGAUAGGAUGUCACAAAUUGAAGCUAUGUUAACAAGUACCGUUCGAAGAUAGGCUAUAAACACUUGGUUUUGAAUGUUUCGAUGUUUAUCAUAUUAGGAUAAUUUUAUUUAUUCGAUGUUUUUGUUGACAUUUCUAUUAUUCGACUGUUUUAUAUGCUUUUCAAACAUAGAUGUUUUAUAUAAUUUUGGGUUUUCAUGAA
Long non-coding RNA from Helianthus annuus (common sunflower), 915 nucleotides. RefSeq lists it as uncharacterized. Lineage: Eukaryota; Viridiplantae; Streptophyta; Magnoliopsida; Asterales; Asteraceae. The transcript has 4 exons. The record is from RefSeq and is a predicted model, not a curated record.